ACGCUAGCUACAGGCUUAACACAUGCAAGUCGAGGGGAAACGGCAUUAAGUGCUUGCACUUUUUGGACGUCGACCGGCGCACGGGUGAGUAACGCGUAUCCAACCUUCCCAUGACUAAGGGAUAACCUGCCGAAAGGCAGACUAAUACCUUAUGGUCUUCACUGACGGCAUCAGAUGUGAAGUAAAGAUUUAUCGGUUAUGGAUGGGGAUGCGUCUGAUUAGCUUGUUGGCGGGGUAACGGCCCACCAAGGCAACGAUCAGUAGGGGUUCUGAGAGGAAGGUCCCCCACAUUGGAACUGAGACACGGUCCAAACUCCUACGGGAGGCAGCAGUGAGGAAUAUUGGUCAAUGGGCGAGAGCCUGAACCAGCCAAGUAGCGUGCAGGAUGACGGCUCUAUGGGUUGUAAACUGCUUUUGUAUGGGGAUAAAGUCAGUCACGUGUGAUUGUUUGCAGGUACCAUACGAAUAAGGACCGGCUAAUUCCGUGCCAGCAGCCGCGGUAAUACGGAAGGUCCGGGCGUUAUCCGGAUUUACUGGGUUUAAAGGGAGCGUAGGCUGGAGAUUAAGUGUGUUGUGAAAUGUAGACGCUCAACGUCUGACUUGCAGCGCAUACUGGUUUCCUUGAGUACGCACAACGUUGGCGGAAUUCGUCGUGUAGCGGUGAAAUGCUUAGAUAUGACGAAGAACUCCGAUUGCGAAGGCAGCUGACGGGAGCGCAACUGACGCUGAAGCUCGAAGGUGCGGGUAUCGAACAGGAUUAGAUACCCUGGUAGUCCGCACAGUAAACGAUGGAUGCCCGCUGUUGGUACUUGGUAUCAGCGGCUAAGCGAAAGCAUUAAGCAUCCCACCUGGGGAGUACGCCGGCAACGGUGAAACUCAAAGGAAUUGACGGGGGCCCGCACAAGCGGAGGAACAUGUGGUUUAAUUC
Molecule: ribosomal RNA, 928 nt
Filed under: uncultured bacterium
Lineage: Bacteria
Description: bacterial SSU rRNA
Rfam family: Bacterial small subunit ribosomal RNA
Source: RNAcentral